RNAcentral lists this long non-coding RNA (796 nucleotides) under Monodelphis domestica (gray short-tailed opossum). RNAcentral describes it as "lncRNA (ENSMODG00000047933.1)". The record is from RNAcentral. Lineage: Eukaryota; Metazoa; Chordata; Mammalia; Didelphimorphia; Didelphidae.
AUUCCUUUAAAUUUCUAUUCAUUGGUUAAUUCAAAAUAAUUUUUAAUUGAUAGAAUUUCAGGCAGAAUGGAGGAGGUAACUAUACUUUUAGUUAAUUCUCACUUGCCAUGUGGCCCACUCCAUUUUUGAGUAAGGCUAGUUCUAGGAUCCUGGUGGAUAUUACUAUUAUAAUAACAAUAGUUAAUUUUACUAUAGUAUUUCAAAUUUACAAAAUUCUUUACAUAUGUUACCUCAUUUGAUCCUCACAAUAGCCACUGGAACUAGUGUUAUUAUUAUUAGAGAAUGGCAAUAUUUAUGUGAAGAAUUGUCUAUGUAAGAGAUCAGUUUCUUGUAAAUUAAAGGUUAGACUCCCUCUGACUCAUUUCUGGACUGGAUCUUGAAUCUAGUUCUGACUUUGGAAUGAAUAAAGAUGAUACAUGUUCCUGACUUGGAGAAAAAGGCUGCCAUUCUAUCUUCGUGACCCAAUCCACUGAAUGAUUUUCUUCAAAGGGUCAAGUUCAGGUUCACACCAAGUAGGCAGCAAGAAGCCAGACCUCAGAGGAGCAGAGGAGACUGGAAGAUACCAAUAUGUAAGCAGAAACCGAACUAUAAAAGAACAGUACCUGAAAGGAAAAGCAAGAGAACUGGAUCAAGCCCAAGAGUUCAAGAGGGAAUUACACCUGUUUGCUGUCCCCCUCACAACAUGAAAAACCCAUAAUCAUUCCUCCAACUGGAAACCAAAUCUGUAUUAUGUUAUACAUCUUUCUAAUUUUCUUCUAUUGAAUAAAAAUUUGUAUCCCACUAUACCUGGAGUCCA